This 468-nucleotide ribosomal RNA is filed under the name uncultured bacterium. RNAcentral describes it as "partial 16S ribosomal RNA". It matches the Rfam family "Bacterial small subunit ribosomal RNA", at positions 28 to 507 of the family's 1533-position model. The record is from RNAcentral.
GACGAACGCUGGCGGCGUGCUUAACACAUGCAAGUCGAACGGAAAGGCCCUGCUUUUGUGGGGUGCUCGAUUGGCGAACGGGUGAGUAACACGUGAGUAACCUGCCCUUGACUUUGGGAUAACUUCAGGAAACUGGGGCUAAUACCGGAUAGGAGCUCCUGCUGCACGGUGGGGGUUGGAAAGUUUCGGCGGUUGUGGAUGGACUCGCGGCUUAUCAGCUUGUUGGUGGGGUAGUGGCUUACCAAGGCUUUGACGGGUAGCCGGCCUGAGAGGGUGACCGGCCACAUUGGGACUGAGAUACGGCCCAGACUCCUACGGGAGGCAGCAGUGGGGAAUAUUGCACAAUGGGCGGAAGCCUGAUGCAGCAACGCCGCGUGCGGGAUGACGGCCUUCGGGUUGUAAACCGCUUUCGCCUGUGACGAAGCGUGAGUGACGGUAAUGGGUAAAGAAGCACCGGCUAACUACGUG